AUGAAGACAUCUAAGCUACUUCUGGAUUCCCUAGAAAACUUGUGCUGCCUAUUCUUUUCCAACUGUGUAGUCCUCUCCUGGCUGUUUCUGUGGUCCAGCAGACUGUGGAGAAAUAGCUUACUAUUCCAUUAGAAAGAAGAUCUUGUGUAAUAAAAAUAAGAAGUGGUAUCAGGUCAUGGGAGCUUUGGAAAUGGAAUCGAGAUUUGGUGCUUGUCUUUGCCUCUGUGGCUAACAAGGUUAAAGAUUUCUUGACUUCCCUCUGGUGAAGCUUGAUACCAACUGACCUAUAAGGGCUUGGUUUUCACAACAGAGUCUUAGUCCACCCUCGCCAUCGCACCAAAUACUGAGAGAACAAAUAAAAUUAUUGCUUGAAGAAACGAAGUA
RNAcentral lists this long non-coding RNA (384 nucleotides) under Homo sapiens (human). Its description in RNAcentral is "HSALNT0271514". The record is from RNAcentral. Lineage: Eukaryota; Metazoa; Chordata; Mammalia; Primates; Hominidae.